CUACACAUGCAGUCGGACGGUAGCACAGAGAGCUUGCUCUCGGGUGACGAGUGGGGGACGGGUGAGUAAUGUGUGGGGAUCUGCCCGAUAGAGGGGGAUAACCACUGGAAACGGUGGGUAAUACCGCAUAUCGUCGCAAGACCAAAGAGGGGGACCUUCGGGCCUCUCACUAUCGGAUGAACCCAGAUGGGAUUAUCUAGUAGGCGGGGUAAUGGGCCACCUAUGCGACGAUCCCUAUCUGGUCUGAGAGGAUGACCAGCCACACUGGAACUGAGACACGGUCCAGACUCCUACGGGAGGCAGCAGUGGGGAAUAUUGCACAAUGGGCGCAAGCCUGAUGCAGCCAUGCCGCGUGUAUGAAAAAAGCCUUCGGGUUGUAAAGUACUUUCAGCGGGGAGGAAAGCGGUGCGGUUAAUAACCGCGCCGAUUGACGUUACCCGCAGAAAAAACACCGGCUAACUCCGUGCCAGCAGCCGCGGUAAUACGGAGGGUGCGAGCGUUAAUCGGAAUUACUGGGCGUAAAGCGCACGCAGGCGGUCUGUGAAGUCAGAUGUGAAAUCCCCGGGCUUAACCUGGGAACUGCGUUUGAAACUGUGAGGCUUGAGUCUUGUAAGGGGGGUAGAAUUCCAGGUGUAUCGGUGAAAUGCGUAUAGAUCUGGAGGAUACCGGUGGCGAAAGCGGCCCCUGUACAAGACUGACGCUCACGUGCGAAGCGUGGGAGCAACAGGAUUUAUACCCUGGAGUCCACGCCGUAAACGAUGUCACUUGAGGUGUUCCCUGAGAGUGGUUCCGAGCUAUGCGUAAGUCGACCCCUGGGAGUACGGCGCAGGUAUAACUCAAUGAUUGACGGGG
Molecule: ribosomal RNA, 852 nt
Filed under: Pantoea agglomerans
Lineage: Bacteria; Pseudomonadati; Pseudomonadota; Gammaproteobacteria; Enterobacterales; Erwiniaceae
Description: bacterial SSU rRNA
Rfam family: Bacterial small subunit ribosomal RNA
Source: RNAcentral